This 807-nucleotide ribosomal RNA is filed under the name uncultured archaeon. RNAcentral describes it as "bacterial SSU rRNA". It matches the Rfam family "Archaeal small subunit ribosomal RNA", at positions 85 to 876 of the family's 1478-position model. The record is from RNAcentral.
ACGGCUCAGUAACACGUGGCUAACCUGCCCUUAGGACGAGAAUAACCCCGGGAAACUGGGGCUAAUGCUCGAUAGGUGAAGAACUCUGGAAUGAGUCUUCACUUAAAAGAGUCUGCGUUAUGCUCGUAGAUUUCGCUUAAGGAUGGGGCCGCGACCGAUCAGGUUGUUGGUGAGGUAAUGGCUCACCAAGCCUUUUACCGGUGCGGGCCGUGAGAGCGGGAGCCCGGAGAUGGGCACUGAGACAAGGGCCCAGGCCCUACGGGGCGCAGCAGUCGCGAAAACUUUGCAAUACACGAAAGUGUGACAGGGCUAUCCCGAGUGCCAUCCGCUGAGGAAGGCUUUUACCCAGUCUAGAACGCUGGGGGAAUAAGGAGAGGGCAAGUCUGGUGUCAGCCGCCGCGGUAAUACCAGCUCUCCGAGUGGUGUGGAUGUUUAUUGGGCCUAAAGCAUCCGUAGCUGGCUAAGUUAGUCCCCUGUUAAAUCCAACGAAUUAAUCGUUGGAUCGCGGGGGAUACUGCUUGGCUAGGGGACGAGAGAGGCAGACGGUAUUUCCGGGGUAGGGGUGAAAUCCUAUAAUCCCGGGAAGACCACCAGUGGCGAAGGCUGUCUGCUAGAACGCGCCCGACGGUGAGGGAUGAAAGCUGGGGGAGCGAACCGGAUUAGAUACCCGGGUAGUCCCAGCUGUAAACGAUGCAGGCUAGGUGUUUGGACGGCCACGUGCCGUUCUAGUGCCGCAGGGAAGCUGUUAAGCCUGCCGCCUGGGGAGUACGAUCGCAAGAUUGAAACUUAAAGGAAUUGGCGGGGGAG